UGUCAUGGCCACUACAAGCCUUUAGAUUAAUCUAUCAAUUAGCGAUGCAAUUUAUUUGUUUUGCAGGAAUAAUCAGGAUGGCUGCUAUAAAUUGUCUGAUAUAACAGGAUGUCUUCUUUUUCAUUCUUUCUUUUUUCUUUUCUCCCAUCUAAGCUUUUCAUUUUUCAUUCUAACUGGAGUGGCUGAUUGCCCUUACUCCUUGUUUAUUCUUCUUUUUAUCCCUUCUGACUCCAGAUGAUGGAGAAGUAGAGAAGGGAAUACAAGAGCAAUCACAAAGUAGGCUUGCCACGCACGAGCUCCAAGCGGAUAAGAGCAAGAUAACUUCAGAAGAUCACACUUCUAAACUAAAAGAGGAUAAUUUUAGUUUUAAAUAACUUGUUCUUUUCUCCUACUAACUACCCCUAUAUAUUGCAUGGGCAUGGGACAUCUCCCCACCUCUAUGGAAUAAAUGAGAGAAUUCAGCCUUCAAUAGAAUGGAUGAAUACAAGAU
Molecule: long non-coding RNA, 490 nt
Filed under: Elaeis guineensis (African oil palm)
Lineage: Eukaryota; Viridiplantae; Streptophyta; Magnoliopsida; Arecales; Arecaceae
Description: long non-coding RNA (EGUI_LNC038817)
Source: RNAcentral